This 253-nucleotide ribosomal RNA is filed under the name uncultured bacterium. Its description in RNAcentral is "partial 16S ribosomal RNA". It matches the Rfam family "Bacterial small subunit ribosomal RNA", at positions 524 to 776 of the family's 1533-position model. The record is from RNAcentral.
GACAGAGGGUGCAAACGUUGCUCGGAAUUACUGGGCGUAAAGCGCGUGUAGGUGGAUUGGUGUGUCAGAUAUGAAAGCCCUGGGCUCAACCCAGGAAUUGCACCUGAAACUACCAGUCUUGAGUGGUGGAGAGGGAAGUGGAAUUCCUGGUGUAGAGGUGAAAUUCGUAGAUAUCAGGAGGAACACCAGUGGCGAAGGCGGCUUCCUGGAUACCAACUGACGCUGAGACGCGAAAGCGUGGGGAGCAAACAGG